This 845-nucleotide long non-coding RNA is filed under the name Citrus x clementina. RNAcentral's name for it is "Citrus clementina (C. clementina) long non-coding RNA (CCLE_LNC003847)". Lineage: Eukaryota; Viridiplantae; Streptophyta; Magnoliopsida; Sapindales; Rutaceae. The record is from RNAcentral.
AUAUAGUAUUAAAAAUUAUAUAAUUCAAUUUCAUCUAAACUGUUGUUUUAGGCUUUCAAUCACUUCCACAGGUCAAGGACCUAUUAAUUAGUGAUAGAAAAAGUAGGUACUUAUUUGAGAAAUCGUGUAAGAUUAGGAAUCUGAUACUAAUUUCUCAUUUUUCUUUUUCUUUUUUUUUUAAAUUUUAAACAUUUAUCUAAUCGUGUGCCUACUGUUGUUUUAUUUACCCUGAGGUACGCGCAUACUGCACUCGCGCCAUUAUAGUGUUCGGAAAACGCGGGGGUAUGUUGGGUAAUUUAGGGAGCAAUAUCCAAUCUAAGGAGAUAUUUUUGCUGAUGUGUCAGUUACAGUAGCGCGCGUUGUUGGCCCACCCUUACGCGCGAAACUGUAGGGUCAGUUUAUAGGGGUCGAGGGAGUGGCGUUGACUGGGUUUUAUAAUGGAUAUGGUCUUUCGGGCGCUAUAUAAGGGAAAAAUGUAUAUUUAGUGGGGUUUGAUGGUUUGGUUUCAUUUUCUAUUUUUUUACGCGAAGGAUCUGACGGCUAGCAUUAAAGAUGCAGAAUCUAGAGUUUGCUCGUAACAGAUUUGUUGUGUGCGGCAGAUAUCUGGCCCUUUAUUAUUUAGUCAAUACUCAAUAGGGUAAGCAGGGGCCCCGUGGAGCUCAGUUUGUUGGAUCUAAUUAAGAUACAGUCGGCUAUAGCUUACCUUUCCCAUAUGAAAAGUAACACAGCAGAAAGAUCCACAUAAGCUGCAACUUUACAUUUUCUCAAUUUGUUUGACAACAAAUGAUAAAUAUCCUCUCAUCAUUUGAGCUUUCGUGAGUUUUUAAAAAUAUUAUAUUAUUUAU